UUGUUGGUAAGGUAAAAGCUUACCAAGGCUUCGAUCAGUAGCUGGUCUGAGAGGACGACCAGCCACACUGGGACUGAGACACGGCCCAGACUCCUACGGGAGGCAGCAGUGGGGAAUUUUGGACAAUGGGGGCAACCCUGAUCCAGCCAUGCCGCGUGAGUGAAGAAGGCCUUCGGGUUGUAAAGCUCUUUCAGCCGGAACGAAACGGUUACGGUUAAUACCCGUGACUACUGACGGUACCGGAAGAAGAAGCACCGGCUAACUACGUGCCAGCAGCCGCGGUAAUACGUAGGGUGCGAGCGUUAAUCGGAAUUACUGGGCGUAAAGCGUGCGCAGGUGGUUUUGUAAGUCAGAUGUGAAAGCCCCGGGCUCAACCUGGGAACUGCGUUUGAAACUACAAGACUAGAGUGUGGCAGAGGGGGGUGGAAUUCCGCGUGUAGCAGUGAAAUGCGUAGAGAUGUGGAGGAACACCGAUGGCGAAGGCAGCCCCCUGGGUCAACACUGACGCUCAGGCACGAAAGCAUGGGGAGCAAACAGGAUUAGAUACCCUGGUAGUCCAUGCCCUAAACGAUGUCAACUAAUUGUCGGGCCUUUACGGGCUUGGUAACGUAGCUAACGCGUGAAGUUGACCGCCUGGGGAGUACGAUCGCAAGAUUAAAACUCAAAUGAAUUGACGGGGACCCGCACAAGCGGUGGAUUAUGUGGAUUAAUUCGAUGCAACGCGAAAAACCUUACCUACCCUUGACAUGUAUCGAAGCCCGCAGAAAAGCGGGGGUGUCCGAAAGGGAACGAUAACACAGGUGCUGCAUGGCUGUCGUCAGCUCGUGUCGUGAGAUGUUGGGUUAAGUCCCGCAACGAGCGCAACCCUUGUCAUUAAUUGCCAUCAUUUAGUUGGGCACUUUAAUGAGACUGCCGG
This 916-nucleotide ribosomal RNA is filed under the name uncultured bacterium. RNAcentral's name for it is "bacterial SSU rRNA". It matches the Rfam family "Bacterial small subunit ribosomal RNA", at positions 246 to 1155 of the family's 1533-position model. The record is from RNAcentral.